CCUACGGGGGGCUGCAGUAAGGAAUAUUGGACAAUGGCGGAGACGCUGAUCCAGCUAUCCCGCGUGCAGGAUGAAGGACCUCUGGUUUGUAAACUGCUUUAGACUGGGGCGAAAAAGUGGGAUUUAUCCUACAUUGACGGUACCAGUAAAAUAAGCACCGGCUAACUCCGUGCCAGCAGCCGCGGUAAUACGGAGGGUGCAGGCGUUAUCCGGAAUCACUGGGUCGUAGGGGUGCUUCGACGGCUGGCUUGAAAGGCCACGGCUUAACCGUGGGAUUGCUUUUGAUACUGGCGAGCUUGGAUUAGGACGAGGUUGGCGGAAUGGGGCAAGUAGCGGUGAAAUGCAUAGAUAUGCCAUAGAAUACCGAUUGCGAAGGCAGCUGACUAGACCUAUAUUGACGCUGAGGCACGAAAGCGUGGGGAGCGAACAGGAUUAGAUACCCCAGUAGUC
RNAcentral lists this ribosomal RNA (450 nucleotides) under uncultured bacterium. Its description in RNAcentral is "partial 16S ribosomal RNA". It matches the Rfam family "Bacterial small subunit ribosomal RNA", at positions 338 to 795 of the family's 1533-position model. The record is from RNAcentral.